UACGUAGGGGGCUAGCGUUGUCCGGAAUCAUUGGGCGUAAAGCGCGUGUAGGCGGUCUGGUAAGUCUGCUGUGAAAGUCGGGGGCUCAACCCUCGGAAGCCGGUGGAUACUGCUGGGCUAGAGUGCGGAAGAGGCGAGUGGAAUUCCUGGUGUAGCGGUGAAAUGCGCAGAUAUCAGGAGGAACACCAAUUGCGAAGGCAGCUCGCUGGGACGUGACUGACGCUGAGACGCGAAAGCGUGGGGAGCAAACAGG
This 253-nucleotide ribosomal RNA is filed under the name uncultured bacterium. RNAcentral describes it as "partial 16S ribosomal RNA". It matches the Rfam family "Bacterial small subunit ribosomal RNA", at positions 524 to 776 of the family's 1533-position model. The record is from RNAcentral.